Molecule: ribosomal RNA, 962 nt
Filed under: Salmonella enterica subsp. enterica serovar Nottingham
Lineage: Bacteria; Pseudomonadati; Pseudomonadota; Gammaproteobacteria; Enterobacterales; Enterobacteriaceae
Description: partial 23S ribosomal RNA
Rfam family: Bacterial large subunit ribosomal RNA
Source: RNAcentral
CCCUUUGGGGUGUGACUGCGUACCUUUUGUAUAAUGGGUCAGCGACUUAUAUUCUGUAGCAAGGUUAACCGAAUAGGGGAGCCGGAGGGAAACCGAGUCUUAAUUGGGCGUUAAGUUGCAGGGUAUAGACCCGAAACCCGGUGAUCUAGCCAUGGGCAGGUUGAAGGUUGGGUAACACUAACUGGAGGACCGAACCGACUAAUGUUGAAAAAUUAGCGGAUGACCUGUGGCUGGGGGUGAAAGGCCAAUCAAACCGGGAGAUAGCUGGUUCUCCCCGAAAGCUAUUUAGGUAGCGCCUCGUGAAUUCAUCUCCGGGGGUAGAGCACUGUUUCGGCUAGGGGGCCAUCCCGGCUUACCAACCCGAUGCAAACUGCGAAUACCGGAGAAUGUUAUCACGGGAGACACACGGCGGGUGCUAACGUCCGUCGUGAAGAGGGAAACAACCCAGACCGCCAGCUAAGGUCCCAAAGUCAUGGUUAAGUGGGAAACGAUGUGGGAAGGCCCAGACAGCCAGGAUGUUGGCUUAGAAGCAGCCAUCAUUUAAAGAAAGCGUAAUAGCUCACUGGUCGAGUCGGCCUGCGCGGAAGAUGUAACGGGGCUAAACCAUGCACCGAAGCUGCGGCAGCGACGCUGAUGCGUUGUUGGGUAGGGGAGCGUUCUGUAAGCCUGUGAAGGUGGCCUGUGAGGGUUGCUGGAGGUAUCAGAAGUGCGAAUGCUGACAUAAGUAACGAUAAAGCGGGUGAAAAGCCCGCUCGCCGGAAGACCAAGGGUUCCUGUCCAACGUUAAUCGGGGCAGGGUGAGUCGACCCCUAAGGCGAGGCCGAAAGGCGUAGUCGAUGGGAAACGGGUUAAUAUUCCCGUACUUGGUGUUACUGCGAAGGGGGGACGGAGAAGGCUAUGUUGGCCGGGCGACGGUUGUCCCGGUUUAAGCGUGUAGGUGUGUGUUCCAGGUAAAUCCGGUU